AGAGUUUGAUCCUGGCUCAGGAUGAACGCUAGCGGCAGGCUUAAUACAUGCAAGUCGAACGGCAGCACGAAUAGCAAUAUUUGGUGGCGAGUGGCGCACGGGUGCGUAACGCGUAUGCAACUUACCCUUAACUGGGGAAUAGCCCCGAGAAAUCGGGAUUAAUACCCCAUAACAUCAUGAACUGACAUCUGUUUAUGAUCAAAGCUCAGGCGGUUAAGGAUGGGCAUGCGUGACAUUAGCUAGUUGGUAAGGUAACGGCUUACCAAGGCUACGAUGUCUAGGGGUUCUGAGAGGAUUAUCCCCCACACUGGUACUGAGACACGGACCAGACUCCUACGGGAGGCAGCAGUAAGGAAUAUUGGGCAAUGGACGCAAGUCUGACCCAGCCAUGCCGCGUGCAGGAUGACGGCCCUACGGGUUGUAAACUGCUUUUGUACGGGAAAAAACCCUUGCUCGAGUAGCGAGGCUGAUGGUACCGUAAGAAUAAGCAUCGGCUAACUCCGUGCCAGCAGCCGCGGUAAUACGGAGGAUGCAAGCGUUAUCCGGAUUCAUUGUGUUUAAAGGGUCCGCAGGCGGGGUAAUAAGUCAGAGGUGAAAUCCUACGGCUCAACUGUAGAACUGCCUUUGAUACUGUUAUCCUAGAGUGUAGUUGAUGUGGGCGGAAUAUGUCAUGUAGCGGUGAAAUGCUUAGAUAUGACAUAGAACACCGAUCGCGAAGGCAGCUCACAAAGCUACAACUGACGCUCAGGGACGAAAGCGUGGGGAUCAAACAGGAUUAGAUACCCUGGUAGUCCACGCUGUAAACGAUGGUCACUCGAUGUUGGCGAUACACUGUCAGCGUCUGAGCGAAAGCAUUAAGUGACCCACCUGGGGAGUACGAUCGCAAGAUUGAAACUCAAAGGAAUUGACGGGGGCCCGCACAAGCGGAGGAGCAUGUGGUUUAAUUCGAUGAUACGCGAGGAACCUUACCUGGGCUCGAACGUAGGGCGACUUACCGUGAAAGCGGUAUUCUCUUCGGAGCGACCUACGAGGUGCUGCAUGGUUGUCGUCAGCUCGUGCCGUGAGGUGUCGGGUUAAGUCCCAUAACGAGCGCAACCCCUAUCAUUAGUUGCCAUCAGGUAAAGCUGGGGACUCUAAUGAAACUGCCUACGCAAGUAGUGAGGAAGGUGGGGAUGACGUCAAAUCAGCACGGCCCUUACGUCCAGGGCUACACACGUGCUACAAUGGCCGGUACAAAGGGCAGCUACCUGGUGACAGGAUGCUAAUCUCGGAAACCGGUCUCAGUUCGGAUCGAAGUCUGCAACCCGACUUCGUGAAGUUGGAUUCGCUAGUAAUCGCGCAUCAGCCAUGGCGCGGUGAAUACGUUCCCGGGCCUUGUACACACCGCCCGUCAAGCCAUGGGAGCUGGGGGUACCUAAAGUUCGUGACCGUAAGGAGCGACCUAGGGUAAAACUACUGACUGGGGCUAAGUCGGAACAAGGUA
Molecule: ribosomal RNA, 1483 nt
Filed under: metagenome
Description: bacterial SSU rRNA
Rfam family: Bacterial small subunit ribosomal RNA
Source: RNAcentral